AAGCUCAAAUUUGAAAUCUGGCGGUUCCUUGGACUGUCCGAGUUGUAAUCUAGAGAAGUGCUACCUGUGCUGGACCGUGUACAAGUCUCCUGGAAUGGAGCAUCACAGAGGGUGAGAAUCCCGUCUUUGACACGGACUGCCUGUGCGAUAUGGUGUGCUCUCGAAGAGUCGAGUUGUUUGGGAAUGCAGCUCAGAAUGGGUGGUAAAUGCCAUCUAAAGCUAAAUAUUGGCGAGAGACCGAUAGCGAACAAGUACCGUGAGGGAAAGAUGAAAAGAACUUUGGAAAGAGAGUUAAACAGUACGUGAAAUUGCUGAAAGGGAAACGCUUGAAGUCAGUCACGUCGGCUAGAAAUCAACCUUGCUCUUGCUUGGUGUACUUUCUGGUUUUGACGGGUCAGCAUCAAUUUUGACCGCUGGAUAAAGUCUUUGGGAAUGUGGCAUCUUAGGAUGUGUUAUAGCCCAUUGUCGCAUGCAGUGGUUGGGAUUGAGGAACUCAGCACGCCGUGAGGCCGGGUCUUUUGACCACGUUUCGUGCUUAGGAUGCUGGCAUAAUGGCUUUAAUCGACCCGUCUUGAAACACGGACCAAGGAGUCUAACAUGCCUGCGAGUGUUUGGGUGGAAAACCCAUGCGCGAAAUGAAAGUGAAAGUUGAGAUCCCUUUGGGGAGCAUUGACGCCCGGACCAGACCUUUUGUGACGGAUCCGCGGUAGAGCAUGUAUGUUGGGACCCGAAAGAUGGUGAACUAUGCCUGAAUAGGGUGAAGCCAGAGGAAACUCUGGUGGAGGCUCGUAGCGAUUCUGACGUGCAAAUCGAUCGUCAAAUUUGGGUAUAGGGGCGAAAGACUAAUCGAACCAUCUAGUACCUGGUUCCUGCCGAA
Molecule: ribosomal RNA, 877 nt
Filed under: Inocybe sp.
Lineage: Eukaryota; Fungi; Basidiomycota; Agaricomycetes; Agaricales; Inocybaceae
Description: partial large subunit ribosomal RNA
Rfam family: Eukaryotic large subunit ribosomal RNA
Source: RNAcentral